GAUGAACGCUAGCGGCAGGCCUAAUACAUGCAAGUCGAACGAUAUCAUCCAGCUUGCUGGAUAUGAAAGUGGCGCACGGGUGCGUAACGCGUAUGCAACCUACCUUAUUCAGGGGGAUAGCCCGAAGAAAUUCGGAUUAACACCGCAUAAAAUCACAGUUCAGCAUUGGACAAUGAUCAAAUAUUUAUAGGAAUAAGAUGGGCAUGCGUGUCAUUAGCUAGUUGGCGGGGUAACGGCCCACCAAGGCGACGAUGACUAGGGGAUCUGAGAGGAUGGCCCCCCACACUGGUACUGAGACACGGAACCUACUCCUACGGGAGGCAGCAGUAAGGAAUAUUGGUCAAUGGAGGGAACUAUGAACCAGCCAUGCCGCGUGCAGGAAGACGGCCCUCUGGGUUGUAAACUGCUUUUAUUCGGGAAUAACCUUUCUACGUGUAGGGAGCUGAAUGUACCGAAGGAAUAAGGAUCGGCUAACUCCGUGCCAGCCGCCGCGGUAA
Molecule: ribosomal RNA, 497 nt
Filed under: uncultured bacterium
Lineage: Bacteria
Description: partial 16S ribosomal RNA
Rfam family: Bacterial small subunit ribosomal RNA
Source: RNAcentral